UUAAUUUGACGGGUCUCUUAGCUUUGCUCUUUACGAACUCCAAUGUAGCAAUAGGUGCCUGACCUUUUAUUUUUAUCAUUAUUAUUUCCCAAAUUCAUUCACCUAUUCUCUCUCUGCAAAACCUCCUCUCAAGCCCAAGCCCAAGCCCAACCCCAAAUUAAAACCCUCAUAUCAUCCUAUAGUAAUCCGCCGUCACCCGUUAGUUCUUCUUCCCUUCUCCAGUAAAUCAACAUACUGCCCUUCAUUUUUUUUUUUGAGGGACAUACUGUCCUUCUUCUCCAUUGAAUGAAACACUACAUAUACUCUAACAAUGGUAAAAUAAAAAUGGCUCCUUUUCUCCUCUCAACAUGCUUAUUGCUCUUUAUCCUCUUAUUUUUCUAAAGUUCAAGAAUAUCACUAAAAAUAAUGAGGAUUUGAUAAUAGAUUUGCAAAUUAUGAAGAAUUGUUGUCUAAUUUAUAACUGAACUUCUGAUCAAAAUUGAGGUUUGCGAGGAGAUAUAAAUAUGGAGUAUUCAAGCCUUGUUGGUGUUAUAAUGAUUGUUAAAUUUAUGUAAUUUUUUUUUAAACAAAAAUUUAUGUAAAUUCAUAGUAUGUAUAUUAUUUUUAUUUUUUUUUUUGUUGCAAAUUUACGUUGGAUGUUUUUUUUUGUAUGCGUUAAUUUUAAUUUAAUCCAUUGCUAUUUUCCGUGGUCAAAGUGAAAUUUACAAUUUAUGAAUUAUCAACCAAUUUUUACAUAUAGCAUAUAAAUAGAAUUUUCAAAAUUUUAAUGAAAAAUUCGUUCCAAAUAAAAAGCAAUUUUUUAUUUUUUUUUAAAAAAACUUAAAGAACAAAGAGACCCGUUAUGUGACAGGUGUUUGGGGGUAAAAAUACCCCCUAUAUGUGGACCAAUGCCACCUCGACACGUGUCCGCAAGCUCAGCGCUCAAUGAGCCAAUUAGAGCAUGACAUGUGUCACUCAAUGAUAGAAGGGUGAAAAUGGGCUUUAAGCCCACAACCCUAGAGCCCGUAAAACGUUGGGAAGCCAAUCUACUUAGGUUAAAUAACCUAAGAGGCACAUAUCCCAAUGCUCUAUAAAUACUGAUCUUUACAUCAGUUUCAAGGGAUCCAAUUCUCUCUCCAAGGGCAAUGCCCCCCACAUUUACUCUCCCUUCUCUCUACUUUCUCUCUCUAAAAUACAUUAUUUCGGUCACUGACUUGAUCGUCGGAGGCGGACCCCCGGGUCCGUUGUUUUGCAGGUGAUUGGGCCGUUCGAGUGUUGCAUUGCAGAUCUGUCUCUCGAGGGACGUACACACCCUCCAUUCGGGUAUUAUGUGCCGAAAGAAAGAGGAUAUCAAGAAGCCAAGCUAACUGUUGUGCGCGGGGUACUGUGCGGCUUCUGUGCGGGCGCACAUGUGAGGCUGUGCGGGGGCGCAGCCCUGUCAGAACCCGCACAACCAGACUGAAGAAACAGAGCCUAACCAGAGAGUUUGCGUGACUUGCGUGCGGGCGUACACACCUGAUGCGCGGGCGCGCUCAUUUUCCCCGUACCCUCAAAGUUGCGGCCGUGCACUGCGCUGAGAGGGCGCACACACAUUUUGUGCGGGCGCGCAACUCAUCUGUGCGGGCGCGCACGGCUGGGUUUCCGAUUUAUUUGCGCCUUGUUGUCCAAGUCUCUUUCGUUUGGGGGGAGCCACAUAUAUAUAGACAGGACUCUUUGUAAUAGAAUGACACUUAGUACUAAUUCCAUAGAAAAUUAGCCUAAUCUAGAGAGAGAAAAUAGAUUAUUAUUCAAGCUUCCUUUAUUGUUUUCAACUUUGCUCAAGCUUUAAUCUUCCAUCAAUCAAGCAAGUAUCCAAGUUUUCAUCUUUCUUCAA
This is a long non-coding RNA of Chenopodium quinoa (quinoa), 1852 nucleotides long. RefSeq lists it as uncharacterized. The transcript has 3 exons. The record is from RefSeq and is a predicted model, not a curated record. Lineage: Eukaryota; Viridiplantae; Streptophyta; Magnoliopsida; Caryophyllales; Amaranthaceae.